GUGGCCCAGCGGGAAGCGCGUCUGCCCUCCGGUGAUGCAGGCUCCUACGGAUCAGAAGGUUGGGGGUUCGAAUCCCUCCGAGC
RNAcentral lists this transfer RNA (83 nucleotides) under Kribbella aluminosa. RNAcentral describes it as "tRNA-OTHER". Lineage: Bacteria; Bacillati; Actinomycetota; Actinomycetes; Propionibacteriales; Kribbellaceae. The record is from RNAcentral.